RNAcentral lists this ribosomal RNA (422 nucleotides) under Zobellia sp. RNAcentral's name for it is "bacterial SSU rRNA". It matches the Rfam family "Bacterial small subunit ribosomal RNA", at positions 355 to 774 of the family's 1533-position model. The record is from RNAcentral. Lineage: Bacteria; Pseudomonadati; Bacteroidota; Flavobacteriia; Flavobacteriales; Flavobacteriaceae.
UGAGGAAUAUUGGACAAUGGGCGGGAGCCUGAUCCAGCCAUGCCGCGUGCAGGAAGAAUGCCCUAUGGGUAGUAAACUGCUUUUAUACGGGAAGAAAAAGGGCUACGUGUAGCCCACUGACGGUACCGUAAGAAUAAGGACCGGCUAACUCCGUGCCAGCAGCCGCGGUAAUACGGAGGGUCCGAGCGUUAUCCGGAAUUAUUGGGUUUAAAGGGUCCGUAGGCGGGCCGAUAAGUCAGGGGUGAAAGUCUGCCGCUCAACGGUAGAAUUGCCUUUGAUACUGUCGGUCUUGAGUUAUGGUGAAGUUGGCGGAAUAUGUAGUGUAGCGGUGAAAUGCAUAGAUAUUACAUAGAACACCGAUUGCGAAGGCAGCUGACUAACCAUCGACUGACGCUGAUGGACGAAAGCGUGGGGAGCGAACA